Molecule: long non-coding RNA, 1668 nt
Filed under: Zonotrichia albicollis (white-throated sparrow)
Lineage: Eukaryota; Metazoa; Chordata; Aves; Passeriformes; Passerellidae
Description: lncRNA (ENSZALG00000003061.1)
Source: RNAcentral
GCGGGGCGGAGCGCGGAGCCCGCUCGGGGCUGCGGAUGCUCCGUCCGGCACCGCCGGUGGCAGCGGGGCGGGCGCCAGCCCGGCUCUGGGCGUCUGUAACGGGCAGCGCGACCGCGACGGAGCCGCCGGUACCGGCUCUUCAACGGCGGUACCGGCACCGGUACCGGCAGCGCUCCGGCCCUGCUAUCCCAGCACCGGCAUCAGUGCUUGGAUCCCGGCACCAGGACCGACCGGCCUCACUGACACCGGCACCGCCACUGACACCGGUACCGGCUCUUCUUCCCCGGCACAAGGUCCGGUGUCCCCGCCACCGGGACUACACCCCGUUAUCCUCCCCCGGCACUGGGACCACUCCGAUUCCCCGGCAUUGCUCGUCCUUCUCCUGCACCGGCACCGACCGGCCCUUCCCGGCUCCCCGGGCCCCCGCCUGCCGCAGCUUUGAAAACCCACGAGUGGUGGGAACGGAGAGCUGGGCACGGUGGAGUGAGCACAAGGAGCACCGAGGCCAGCACAGGGAGACACUGUCCCCUGACCUGGCAGGGACACGGAGCAGGGACCAGCCAGGACCCUCCAGGGACCAGCCCAGGGGCGUUCUGGUAGGAGCAGCCAGGGGUGGUGGGCAGCACUGGGCAUACUGGGGAUACUGGGGAUGCUGGGAGUGGCUGUGAUGGCGCCAUGGGACCCCUGCAUGGUGAGGGGCAGGGGCUGCAGUGCUGGGUGGGAGGGGGACAGGGCCCUGCAGGGUCAGGGGAGGGAUCCCUUGGAACCACACACGGAAUGCUUUGGGCUGGAAAGGACCUUAAAGGGAAGGGACCUUAAAGACCCCCCCUGCCAUGGACAGGGGCACCUUCCCUAGAGCAGGGCCCCUCUCAGGCCCAGCCCCACUGCUCAUUGCCCCUCAAAGGAGGGGUCUCCUUUGGCUGUUUUGGUGCCUUGCCAAUGGUGCCAGCAGUGCCACCAGCACCAGCCAGGCUCUGCCGGGGGCUGGGACCAUCACCCGUGGAUGAUCCGAGGUUAACAAGUGGCUCCUGCAAAGGAGAAGCAAAGCAAGAGCUGAGAUUAUAUAAAGGGGGCUGGAGGCAGCUGCGGCACAGGCUGUGAUUAAUUCCUGGCACCGAGGAGCUCUGAAGAUCCAGGGCGGUGCGCUGUGAGGAUGAGGCAGCCCCAGGGUCCCUGGGAUGCAUUCCUGCUGCCGCUGCAGGGCUGCUGUGAGGGGAGGGGGACAGGGAGGGGCUGAGCACUCCAGGGACCCGCUGGGGGCUGACUCAGCACCGCGGUGCCCUGCAGAGCCCGUCCUGCAGAUCCCUUCUCCCUCCCAAAACCACGGUGGGGACACGGCUCAGGGCAGGCCAGCCCAUGAGAGCGGCAGUGAGGGGUGGUGGGGACAGGACAGCCCUUCCCUGAGGCCAUGGGCCCCCUCAGGACAAUGGAAACUUGGUGUUAGAAGAACUUUUGUCCUCUGCAUCCCCAGUGAAGGCAGAGAUUGCUGACUGGGCACUGGGGCCGCAGCUUGGGCCGGCUCCAGUUUGGAUCCAUGCAGUGCUCGAAGCUGGGGCCAAACCAUGAACGUUCAGAGGAGUCAGGGAGUCCUGCCCGCUGGCCUGGCAGCCCUGGGCUGGCGCUGGAGCAGGGGAAUAUCCUGGUGUGGAAAAUCCCCUUGUUUGGCUG